This 9717-nucleotide long non-coding RNA is filed under the name Sorghum bicolor (sorghum). RNAcentral's name for it is "long non-coding RNA (SBIC_LNC017206)". Lineage: Eukaryota; Viridiplantae; Streptophyta; Magnoliopsida; Poales; Poaceae. The record is from RNAcentral.
UGGGAAGAGAGGAAGUUUCCUGAGAGUUCUCUAGUUGAUCUAAGAAUCAAGAAUUACUUCAAGAUUAUCUAUUUCGGGACAUCAGAACACUAACCACAGAAAGAGAUGAGAAGGGGGCUAGGAAGCUCCGACUACGGUCCUACAAACACCGAUCCGAACGAGGUGGAAUACGUCGACCGUUAGGGCUGUCACUACCCUAAGGCUACCACAACAAUCCACAGGAUUGGGUGCAAUUCCAGGUAAUUGCAAGACUAAACACCACGUCUAAUCUAUUAAUUACUACUCUAAUGUUUCAAAAAUUAGAGCACUUGAUGCAAGCGGGAAUCCAAUAAAUAACUUGAAUGUAAAUAAAAGUAAUUAGAGAACUCAGGAAUUAUGAAUUGAAGAACCUGGAGAACGAUGAAGAACGAACCAGAUGCUGCAAAAGUAUAAUGUUGAGGAAGAUCCGACAGAUCCGGCUCCUCCUCCGCUCUCCUCUUCUCUCUCCCUAUUUUCUAAAUUACAACUAGAACUAACUAGAACUAGAACUAGAGGAACUAGAACUAGAACUAGAACUAGAUGAACUAGAACUAGAUCUAGAUGAACUAGAGGUAGAACUAGAAGAACUAGAGGGAUCCUCUCUACUUGGAUGAAGAAUUGAAACCCUAGCUUUGAUUCUGUAGAAGAGGUAUGAUCUCCCGGGGCCAGGGGGCCUUGCUUAUAUAGUCUUUUCAGAUGAAUCUGGGCCGUUGGAUCAAACCGACAUUGAUCGUGUGGUUUUCCUUGAAGUAUUAGGUCGGUGGAGCAUGAUCCCCGAACUUCACCCUGAUUGGUCCAGGGGGAGGGCGGGUGCCCAGUAAGGGAGGGCGGGCUCCGUUAUGUCUCCCGUUCGCUCCGUUAUGUCUCCAGGAAGUUCGGGCGCCCAGUAAGGAAGUUCGGGCGCCCAGUAAGGGAGGGCGGGCUUUAGUGCCCGGCUCCGUUAUGUCUCCCGUUCGCUCCCGUGGCUUCUGGACUCUUCUAGAUGGUAGAUAAUUGUACGGCAUGAUAAUAUCUCUAUGUAAACCCGACGUGUGGGCCUUUCUUCCGUAUUUCCUAAUAACCCCCUGCAGAAAUAGACAAACACCAAAACUUGUGGAAUUCUGUCAGAUAAAACCCUAAGUAUAGGUGUUGGUUGCAUUUGGAUCCUUUUCUAUGAUUAGUUGAUGGUUAAAUGUGAGCAUUAAGGACCGUCAACAAGCUCCCCUAAGCUUAACCUUUGCUCGUCCCUGAGCAAAGAUGGACUCAAGUGUUUCUGCAGUAGUUUUAUGCCUUAAAAAUACACAUUCGUUCAAACAAGAUCUCAUCUCUAGGUUAGGGUAAUCUGUUAAUAUUUAAAACUUACUCAUUUUACAUUUCACCAUGGGACUUGUAACCGUCACUUCUGUCUUGAGUAGUUAAAAGAUAGAACGGUCUAGUCAAGCACCAUGUCUCUUGUUCUUCGAUUAACUAUAGCUCUGGAGUUUUUGCAGAUUUUCAAAUAAAACUCAGAGAUUCCUUGUAUGACUCUCUUUAGUCUCUCUUUUGUGGUAUUUCUGGAUCCUUACCAAGGCAGUAAUGGUGUAUGCCUUCUCUCAAAGUAUGUGGUAUUUGUGGUAUAAGGCAUAGUGGCAUUGCCUUCUCUCUCACCCUACUCUAAUAAUUUUUUGAUAUCUGGAGCUCAUAGGUGGGAGACAGCUAAUACAUACUUACAAGACAUUUAUUGCAUAGUCAAACCAUGGAUCCAGAAGAACAAGUCAAUAAGUCAAAUCAAGAUGUGCAUGUGUGGCGAAUGAAUGGUGUAUGGUGAUGAUGGUGAGAACAAUAGUGAAAGUCUAAUUCUACUUGUGCUCUUUUGAGGGGAUACAUACCUUUCUUGCUCUUUUGAAACUUUUUGAGGAGAAUGAGAUGCUCUGUAUUUUCUUUUUCUUUUCUCUCAGGUGGGUAUCUUGUACCCCUAAUUCUACUGUCGGACACUUGUCCAUUUUUACCUCUCGUCUCACUUUUUAUUUUCUUUCGAGGUUCCAGGCACUUGCCCCUUUUUAUUUCCUCGUAUUCUUUUUUUUCUUUCUUUUUUUAGAGCACUCAUCUCCUGAAAUAAUAUAGCAAGUGGUAGUAACCAAGAUAACUUGAGCAUUUAUUUCACAGGGAAAAACAUAAAUAGGAGAAUGUUUUUGGCUAUUCUCUCCCAGAUUAGGAGUAGAAUAUUUUUGGGUGGUUCUGGAGAUGGAAAUGGAUGGAUAUAUGUGGAUGGUACUUCUGGAGUAGAAGUAGCAUGUGUGAGUGAACGUGCAAGUGAAUCUUGAUUUAACCACAUGACAAGCUCCUAAGGGUCUACACAGCUUGACCACACUCAAUGCUCAUAAGCAGUAAAAAGUAAAUGUGUGGUUCAUAGUCUAACAAGCAUGUAUAUAUGGCUGUGGUAGGAAUUUAAACUCUCAUCAUACAGGAACUCAUCAUGCAACAUUUUAAAGAUUUUCAAAGAUAAAAUUCUCUAGAAUUCUAGCAUCUCUAGGAACAGAUAAACAGCAGCUCAACCUUCCCAUAUGAUAUCCGUUAACGACAUAGACUUCAGAUCAAGUACUCUUCCCAUAAGUUUAGGUUUAGAGCAAAUCUUAAUUAAUAACAGUCAUGCCUAAACUUGAGAGAGAUUUCAAUUUUGAGAACUAGUCAUGGCAGAGCAACUAUUCAUCAUUUCCAUAUGAGAGCUUAUCUUGAGGGUUCAUAGCAGACUUUAUUUAUUUAUUUAUUUAGCAAACUAAGCAAAGAUAUAUAUAAGCACAAAAUCUUUUUUUUGGGUUUCUAUGAUUAUGCAUCUUUUUAUUAUUAGAGUAAAGUAUAAACGUGAGUAGAAUACUUAGCUAGAUAAAUGGGGGUGCUCUCCCCCAAGCUGGAUUUUGACGUAGUUUCUUCUGAUGUAGCUAGCAGGUGGCGGAGGUGUAUUUGAAUGUCGGCAGCACCCUGACAGCGAUUAGGAUAUCCUCCGUCUGCUAGUCUUCUUUGAUCCUUGAAUUCUGUGGAGCUCAAAUAGACAACAAAGCUUUGUGGAACUGGUUAAGUGUUAGCAUAAAUAUCUAGCCUUUAUCAUGUUGAGCCUCCUCAAUAAAUGUUACUCAUUAGUAGGAUCAUAAUUUUAUUUUUAUAAUUUUAUUUUUAUAGGACAGGAAUAUAUUUAUUUCAUUUUUAUGCCACCACAGUGAAUGUACUUAUGGGUUUUAUGCCAUGAGCAUACUCACAUGGGGCUUACUAUCUUCAACAUUUUUAUUCUUUUCAAGAUGAUGUGAACCUGAUUAACUAAGCAAACUAUUUUAAAUAAUUGAAAGAAAAAAGAUAACUACCAAGUUUACCUCUUGGCAAGGCGUUCGGUGUUUUUAAGUCCUCCGAACGGGACUCUCCGUUUCCUGAGUCAUUCUGGGAUUCGCUGGAUGGCGUAGUCGGUGGUUCCGACGGUGCUUCCUCUUCGUGUAUAACUAUCUUCUCUUUCCACACCUGACUCGGUGCUACGGUCUCCUCAGGACAGUUCUGUUCAAGUUGUAUGUCUUCAGACCUUACAACUUCUCGUUCAUAGUCUACCCAUCUGUCCUUGAUGAUUUGCCUCCUCUGGUUGCGGUUGCGUCGUCGUCUUCUUGUCCUGACCUGCUUAGAGUCUUCAACUAUAUAGUUAGGGUCAGUAAAACAGUAGCGUACCUUCUCUGAGGGGAAGUGCAUGUGGACUUCUCUGGUUCCAAUGUAUAUGAUUGCUUUAAUGGUGCUAAAGAACGGUCUUCCAAGGAUGAUGGGUGGAUCGUACUCGUCUUCUCCCAUGUCAAUAACCUUCAAUCUUUCAGAAUGUCUGAUCUGCAAUCUGGAGCUGAAUGUAUGUUGGUUGUAGGGACAUGGUUCCAUGCAGUAGCUGAUAAGUGACUGCGGCCAUUAUGUUGACGUUAGAUCCGGUGUCGUAGAGUGUCUUCUCAAAAGAAUAUCCGUUGAUUGUGCACUUGAUGCUUGGGACACCAGGGUCAUCCUUCUUGAUCAAGAAAGGUGACUUGAGUUGACGAUCUUGACCUCCUCGAGCUGCAGUGACCAUCUUAGCUGACUCGGUACAUAUUUGCUUGUUCUUGUUCCUCCUGUUGGUCCUCUUCCUUGGUUCAUGUCGGGAUUGCUCUGGGAUUUGUGUAGUCUUGUUUCUUGAAGGAAAACGUCUCCUUCUUCCCCUUGAUGUAGAAACUGAUCUUGGCAGCACUAGCGUAGAUGACAGCUCCCGAGGUGUUCAGGAAUGGCUUCCCCUAGGUAUAAUGUUGACGCUGGAGCCAAAGUCGCAGAGUGCUUCUAGGAAGUCCACCAUGCCGAUGGAGAUUGGGAUGACGGGGCGUCCUAGAUUGUCUCUCUUGACCGGCAAAAGGUCAGUAAUUACUUCCAAAACGGGGUUACUCCAGUAGUUACAUCCUCAAGCAUCUCAGGACAGUGUUUGCAUGAGUGUCCAGUAUCUCCAGCGUGUUUGUGCUCAUAGAUCUAGGUUCUUCACUUUGGUGGAGUCUGGGAGUUGUAAAACUCCUUCAUAUUUUGCUCAAAGUGUACCUACUCAUAGAGACAAGGCAGAGAUCAAGUGCAUGGGCCCUGUUGGUGAAAAACACCAACAGAACCAAACGUGUAUUUGUUCUUCUCUAACCUCAAGCAUAGUGAGCAAGACAAAGUUGAUGGAUAAUAAAAUCAUGAGUGUAGUAUUUAACAUUUGUCAGAUUAGAUUGCUCAACCUUAUGGAAAGAUAAUCUAUCUAUAUAUAUGUUUUGUUUAUAUCUUCCAAAGAUUGAGUGUGCAACAUUUUAGCUUAUAUGAUUAGGAGUAUGGGAUCACAAAGGUGGAAGGACUAAACAUGUUGAAUCGAUUAGGUUGGUUAAUCUAGAGUUGUAAAUCAUACAUGUUUGUCUCUUUUAUUCAUAUGAACACCAGAACAAAGGAGAAGCUUAUAGAAGUGAUAGUCAAGUACCUUAAGAUGUUACCUUACUUGAAGAGUGAUGGUACAGUAUCACCUUGUGGAAGCUUUCCUCUCUUAGCGGUUGUGCAUUGUGUUUGUGGCACCCUCCAUGGAUCAUCUCUUGUGAGCUAUGCCUUCCUUGUGUAAAUUGUUAAACUUCAUGUGUGUCUCUCUUUGUCUCCAAUGUGAGUUUAUCUUAGGACUUCCCAGGUCGAUAUUGAAAGUUUUCCUGCAGGGGUUAGUCCAACAAAAUAUAUCAAUGUCUACACAAGCAGUUUUUAGUUCAAUAACCAAACUAGACUCCAUGUCUAAUUAGAUUAAGGAAGGUUGUUUAACCUAAGCACCAUGCUUAAUUUAAAAACCAAUAGAAGUAUGUACAGUACUUCCAAACUAACACUUACUAGGAUAAACAAAGGUAGUGUGAUGGCUUUUAUAGAGAUCUACUCAAGUGGAGAUGAAGUAGUGUGAUUACUAUUUAACAAAUUGAGAAUGUCUCAAAGGUAGGGACAACCAACAUAGCAACAUGGCAAAUGAUGUUUUUAUAUAAAGUACUCCCCCAAGCUUGAAUUUUGCAAAAUUCAAGUUUGGAUGAAUUUAAUUCAAUGUUGUAUGAUGAUUGGUUGUACAUACCUUGUGCUUGUCAUUCAUCCGAUCUUCUUGCUCCAAUCCUAGAAAGGUUUGUGACAAGAAUACCCGAAGGAAUUUUUUUUACAAUUAUCCUUAUAUGCUCAAUAGACAAGGUAGUGUUGCAAAUAAUUAAAAGCUUAUGUUACAAUCUGAUCAGUGCUUGUUUUAGGACACUAAGCUUGUCCUUGGGAAACCAUCAAUUUAUAUCGGCGAAGUGGUUUUCCCUCCAACGCUGACCUAUAUCGAGAUUAACUCAACAAGAUCUGCAAUAUUUAAUAUAGACUUAUGCAUCGACAACCGCCCUUUUAAAGUUUUUAUGAAUAGAAAGGAAGAGGGGAUUGGAGAUCUCGAAUGUGGUGAUGUUGGAGAGACCAAUGGAUUGUGAAGAUGUUGCAUAUGAGCAUGGAGUAAAUGAAGUGGCUAUGAAAUAAAUUCCAUGCUCAUUAAUGCUUAGAGUGAAAUCCAUGUGGUAUGGUGAAAGUGAUAAGGCGAGUGUGGUAAAAAAGGAAAAGAAAAAGGAUACACGGACGACUUGGUUCGAAACUAGUACAGCUACCGUUCCCCGGCAACGGCGCCAGAAAGCUUGUUGGGUAUUUUAAACGCAAACAGAAAAAUCCACAAGCGCAUGGAUACUGAUGUAGCUUUCACCCGGGAGUAUUCCAUAGUAUCGAUUUUCUACAGAGAACGUGAGUGUACUAAUUAAGAUCCAAGAUCGCCCAAGGAUAACUACAUAAUUAUUUUGGUGGGAAGAGAGGAAGUUUCCUAAGAGUUCUCUAGUUGAUCUAAGAAUCAAGAAUUACUUUAAGAUUAUCUAUUUCGGGACAUCAGAACACUAACCAUAGAAAGAGAUGAGAAGGGGGCUAGGAAUCUCCGACUACGGUCCUACAAACACUGAUCCGAACGAGGUGGAAUACGUCGACCGUUAGGGCUGUCACUACCCUAAGGCUACCACAACAAUCCGCAAGAUUGGGUGCAAUUCCAGGUAAUUGCAAGACUAAACACCACGUCUAAUCUAUUAAUUACUAAUCUAAUGUUUCAAAGAUUAGAGCACUUGAUGCAAGCGGGAAUCAAUAAAUAACUUGAAUGUAAAUGAAAGUAAUUAGAGAACUCAGGAAUUAUGAAUUGAAGAACCUGGAUAACGAUGAAGAACGAACCAGAUGCUGCAAAAGUAUAAUGUUGAGGAAGAUCCGACAGAUCCGGCUCCUCCUCCGCUCUCCUCUUCUCUCUCCCUAUUUUCUAAAUUACAACUAGAACUAACUAGAACUAGAACUAGAGGAACUAGAACUAGAACUAGAUGAACUAGAACUAGAUCUAGAUGAACUAGAGGUAGAACUAGAAGAACUAGAGGGAUCCUCUCUACUUGGAUGAAGAAUUGAAACCCUAGCUUUGAUUCUGUAGAAGAGGUAUGAUCUCCCGGGGCCAGGGGGCCUUGCUUAUAUAGUCUUUUCAGAUGAAUCUGGGCCGUUGGAUCAAACCGACAUUGAUCGUGUGGUUUUCCUUGAAGUAUUAGGUCGGUGGAGCAUGAUCCCCGAACUUCACCCUGAUUGGUCCAGGGGGAGGGCGGGCGCCCAGUAAGGGAGGGCGGGCGCCCAGUGCCCGGCUCCGUUAUGUCUCCCGUUCGCUCCCGUGGCUUCUGGACUCUUCUAGAUGGUAGAUAAUUGUACGGCAUGAUAAUAUCUCUAUGUAAACCCGACGUGUGGGCCUUUCUUCCGUAUUUCCUAAUAACCCCCUGCAGAAAUAGACAAACACCAAAACUUGUGGAAUUCUGUCAGAUAAAACCCUAAGUAUAGGUGUUGGUUGCAUUUGGAUCCUUUUCUAUGAUUAGUUGAUGGUUAAAUGUGAGCAUUAAGGACUGUCAACAAGCUCCCCUAAGCUUAACCUUUGCUCGUCCCUGAGCAAAGAUGGACUCAAGUGUUUCUGUAGUGGUUUUAUGCCUUAAAAAUACAAAUUCGUUCAAACAAGAUCUCAUCUCUAGGUUAGGGUAAUCUGUUAAUAUUUAAAACUUACUCAUUUUACCUUUCACCAUGGGACUUGUAACCGUCACUUCUGUCUUGAGUAAUUAAAAGAUAGAACGGUCUAGUCAAGCACCAUGUCUCUUGUUCUUCGAUUAACUAUAGCUCUGGAGUUUUUGCAGAUUUUCAAAUAAAACUCAGAGAUUCCUUGUAUGACUCUCUUUAGUCUCUCUUUUGUGGUAUUUCUGGAUCCUUACCAAGGCAGUAAUGGUGUAUGCCUUCUCUCAAAGUAUGUGGUAUUUGUGGUAUAAGACAUAGUGGCAUUGCCUUCUCUCUCACCCUACUCUAAUAAUUUUUUGAUAUCUGGAGCUCAUUGGUGGGAGACAGCUAAUACAUACUUACAAGACAUUUAUUGCAUAGUCAAACCAUGGAUCCAGAAGAACAAGUCAAUAAGUCAAAUCAAGAUGUGCAUGUGUGGCGAAUGAAUGGUGUAUGGUGAUGAUGGUGAGAACAAUAGUGAAAGUCUGAUUCUACUUGUGCUCUUUUGAGGGGAUACAUACCUUUCUUGCUCUUUUGAAACUUUUUGAGGAGAAUGAGAUGCUCUGUAUUUUCUUUUUCUUUUCUCUCAGGUGGGUAUCUUGUACCCCUAAUUCUACUGUCGGACACUUGUCCAUUUUUACCUCUCGUCUCACUUUUUAUUUUCUUUCGAGGUUCCGGGCACUUGCCCCUUUUUAUUUCCUCGUAUUCUUUUUUUUCUUUCUUUUUUUAGAGCACUCAUCUCCUGAAAUAAUAUAGCAAGUGGUAGUAACCAAGAUAACUUGAGCAUUUAUUUCACAGGGAAAAACAUAAAUAGGAGAAUGUUUUUGGCUAUUCUCUCCCAGAUUAGGAGUAGAAUAUUUUUGGGUGGUUCUGGAGAUGGAAAUGGAUGGAUAUAUGUGGAUGGUACUUCUAGAGUAGAAGUAGCAUGUGUGAGUGAACGUGCAAGUGAAUCUUGAUUUAACCACAUGACAAGCUCCUAAGGGUCUACACAGCUUGACCACACUCAAUGCUCAUAAGCAGUAAAAAGUAAAUGUGUGGUUCAUAGUCUAACAAGCAUGUAUAUAUGGCUGUGGUAGGAAUUUAAACUCUCAUCAUACAGGAACUCAUCAUGCAACAUUUUAAAGAUUUUCAAAGAUAAAAUUCUCUAGAAUUCUAGCAUCUCUAGGAACAGAUAAACAGCAGCUCAACCUUCCCAUAUGAUAUCCGUUAACGACUUAGACUUCAGAUCAAGUACUCUUCCCACAAGUUUAGGUUUAGAGCAAAUCUUAAUUAAUAACAGUCAUGCCUAAACUUGAGAGAGAUUUCAAUUUUGAGAACUAGUCAUGGCAGAGCAACUAUUCAUCAUUUCCAUAUGAGAGCUUAUCUUGAGGGUUCAUAGCAGACUUUAUUUAUUUAUUUAUUUAGCAAACUAAGCAAAGAUAUAUAUAAGCACAAAAUCUUUUUUUUGGGUUUCUAUGAUUAUGCAUCUUUUUAUUAUUAGAGUAAAGUAUAAACGUGAGUAGAAUACUUAGCUAGAUAAAUGGGGGUGCUCUCCCCCAAGCUGGAUUUUGACGUAGUUUCUUCUGAUGUAGCUAGCAGGUGGCGGAGGUGUAUUUGAAUGUCGGCAGCACCCUGACAGCGAUUAGGAUAUCCUCCGUCUGCUAGUCUUCUUUGAUCCUUGAAUUCUGUGGAGCUCAAAUAGACAACAAAGCUUUGUGGAACUGGUUAAGUGUUAGCAUAAAUAUCUAGCCUUUAUCAUGUUGAGCCUCCUCAAUAAAUGUUACUCAUUAGUAGGAUCAUAAUAUCCGUUACGUCUCCCGUUCGCUCCCGUGGCUUCUGGACUCUUCUAGAUGGUAGAUAAUUGUACGGCACGAUAAUAUCUCUAUGUAAACCCGACGUGUGGGCCUUUCUUCCGUAUUUCCUAAUAACCCCCUGCAGAAAUAGACAAACACCAAAACUUGUGGAAUUCUGUCAUAUAAAACCCUAAGUAUAGGUGUUGGUUGCAUUUGGAUCCUUUUCUAUGAUUAGUUGAUGGUUAAAUGUGAGCAUUAAGGACCGUCAACAAGCGAUCGCAUUUCGACAAAGUUUGGGUGCCCAAAGGGGCACCGGACGCUGCACCAGACGCUCUGUGAGUGCGUCUGGUGAGGUCCUUAACCGUUGGAACAGUGCCGU